CUACGGGGUGCUCCAGUGGGGAAUAUUGCACAAUGGAGGAAACUCUGAUGCAGCAACGCCGCGUGGAGGAUGACACUUUUCGGAGCGUAAACUCCUUUUAUAUAGGAAGAAGAUGACGGUACUAUAUGAAUAAGCGCCGGCUAACUCCGUGCCAGCAGCCGCGGUAAUACGGAGGGCGCAAGCGUUACUCGGAAUCACUGGGCGUAAAGAGCGUGUAGGCGGAUUAAAAAGUCAGAAGUGAAAUCCUAUAGCUUAACUAUAGAACUGCUUCUGAGACUCUUAAUCUAGAAUAUGGGAGAGGUAGAUGGAAUUUCUGGUGUAGGGGUAAAAUCCGUAGAGAUCAGAAGGAAUACCGAUUGCGAAGGCGAUCUACUAGAACAUUAUUGACGCUGAGACGCGAAAGCGUGGGGAGCAAACAGGAUUAGAUACCCUGGUAGUC
This 439-nucleotide ribosomal RNA is filed under the name uncultured bacterium. RNAcentral's name for it is "partial 16S ribosomal RNA". It matches the Rfam family "Bacterial small subunit ribosomal RNA", at positions 339 to 795 of the family's 1533-position model. The record is from RNAcentral.